UCCGGUUUAACACCGGCAGUCUCUCUAGAGUCCCCGACAUGACUCGCUGGCAACUAGAGACAAGGGUUUCGCUCGUUGCGGGACUUAACCCAACACCUCACGGCACGAGCUGACGACAGCCGUGCAGCACCUGUGCACGCUCCCUCGCGGGUCCCUCAGGUUUCCGUGCGCUUGCAGUGCCAUGUCAAACCCAGGUAAGGUUCUUCGCGUUGCAUCGAAUUAAUCCACAUGCUCCGCCGCUUGUGCGGGCCCCCGUCAAUUCCUUUGAGUUUUAGCCUUGCGGCCGUACUCCCCAGGCGGGGCGCUUAAUGCGUUAGCUACGGCACGGAUCCCGUGGAAGGAAACCCACACCUAGCGCCCACCGUUUACGGCGUGGACUAC
This 381-nucleotide unclassified non-coding RNA is filed under the name uncultured Mycobacteriales bacterium. RNAcentral's name for it is "uncultured Corynebacteriales bacterium contains 16S-23S intergenic spacer region". Lineage: Bacteria; Bacillati; Actinomycetota; Actinomycetes; Mycobacteriales. The record is from RNAcentral.